Molecule: ribosomal RNA, 497 nt
Filed under: uncultured bacterium
Lineage: Bacteria
Description: partial 16S ribosomal RNA
Rfam family: Bacterial small subunit ribosomal RNA
Source: RNAcentral
GAUGAACGCUGGCGGCGUGCCUAAUACAUGCAAGUCGAGCGAACAGACGAGGCUCUUGCUCCUCUGACGUUAGCGGCGGACGGGUGAGUAACACGUGGAUAACCUAUCUAUAAGACUGGGAUAACUCCGGGAAACCGGCUCUAAUACCGGAUAAUAUAUUGAACGGCAUGGUUCAAUAGUGAAAGACGGUUUUGCUGUGACUUAUAGAUGGAUCCGCGCCGCAUUAGCUAGUUGGUAAGGUAACGGCUUACCAAGGCAACGAUGCGUAGCCGACCUGAGAGGGUGAUCGGCCACACUGGAACUGAGACACGGUCCAGACUCCUACGGGAGGCAGCAGUGGGGAAUCUUGCGCAAUGGGCGAAAGCCUGACGGAGCAACGCCGCGUGAGUGAUGAAGGUCUUCGGAUCGUAAAACUCUGUUAUUAGGGAAGAACAAAUGUGUAAGUAACUAUGCACGUCUUGACGGUACCUAAUCAGAAAGCCACGGCUAACUACGUG